RNAcentral lists this ribosomal RNA (250 nucleotides) under uncultured bacterium. RNAcentral describes it as "partial 16S ribosomal RNA". It matches the Rfam family "Bacterial small subunit ribosomal RNA", at positions 524 to 773 of the family's 1533-position model. The record is from RNAcentral.
UACGGAGGAUCCAAGCGUUAUCCGGAUUUAUUGGGUUUAAAGGGUGCGUAGGCGGAAUUGUAAGUCAGUGGUGAAAGCCUGCAGCUUAACUGUAGAAUUGCCAUUGAUACUGCAAAUCUUGAGUACAUUUGAAGUGGGCGGAAUGUGUCAUGUAGCGGUGAAAUGCAUAGAUAUGACACAGAACACCGAUUGCGAAGGCAGCUCACUAAACUGUAACUGACGCUGAGGCACGAAAGCGUGGGGAUCGAAC